GACGAACGCUGGCGGCGUGCUUAACACAUGCAAGUCGAACGAAGAGCGAUGGAAGCUUGCUUCUAUCAAUCUUAGUGGCGCACGGGUGAGUAACGCGUAAUCAACCUGCCCUUCAGAGGGGGACAACAGUUGGAAACGACUGCUAAUACCGCAUACGAUCCAAUCUCGGCAUCGAGGAUGGAUGAAAGGUGGCCUCUAUUUAUAAGCUAUCACUGAAGGAGGGGAUUGCGUCUGAUUAGCUAGUUGGAGGGGUAACGGCCCACCAAGGCGAUGAUCAGUAGCCGGUCUGAGAGGAUGAACGGCCACAUUGGGACUGAGACACGGCCCAGACUCCUACGGGAGGCAGCAGUGGGGAAUCUUCCGCAAUGGACGAAAGUCUGACGGAGCAACGCCGCGUGAGGGAUGACGGCCUUCGGGUUGUAAAGCUCUGUUAAUCGGGACGAAAGGUCCUCUUGCGAAUAGUUAGAGGAAUUGACGGUACCGGAAUAGAAAGCCACGGCUAACUACGUG
RNAcentral lists this ribosomal RNA (510 nucleotides) under uncultured bacterium. RNAcentral describes it as "partial 16S ribosomal RNA". It matches the Rfam family "Bacterial small subunit ribosomal RNA", at positions 28 to 507 of the family's 1533-position model. The record is from RNAcentral.